Molecule: long non-coding RNA, 499 nt
Organism: Panicum hallii
Lineage: Eukaryota; Viridiplantae; Streptophyta; Magnoliopsida; Poales; Poaceae
Exons: 3
Source: RefSeq, a predicted model, not a curated record
UCCAAUCACUCUCCUAGGCUACAACUUAAGAACAGAGCUGUCUGAGGAAGGGUGGCUCACUGGAGCAAUGAUGGAUGCAAUCACAAGAUGCAACAUGCAGCUGGACAAUAUUACUUAUAGGAAGGUGUCCAGGAGAUGGAGACACUACCUGCCUGCAAGUUUUGCGGAUGCAGUGAUCGGGGGCUCAAGAAACAUAGACGGCGAAGGAAUGAGGGUGCAUUUUACUGGCAACCAAAUUGGGUAUGAAGUGCCCAAUUGCCGAAUGAUCAUAGCACCAGUGUGCUACGUUGGCAAAUGGAGCUGUUAUUAUUGGGAUUUCAUGAACAAGAAAAUCGUAUUACUUGACCCAAUGAAAAUGAACAUGAGCCCUGGUACAGUGGAGCUCACCACGAUUGGGUGGUAUCUGUUAUGACAGAAGCUAUAUGCAAGUGCAUUGACGCUUUCUUUAUGGGAUGGGAGGUUGACUGGAGCGGCUGGGAGCAUUGCUACCCCACCCAAG